UAUAUAAGCUAUUACAAUACUAGCGGCUAAUUGUGUCAGGAUAGAAAUAUAGCAGCACCGUGCCAUCCUAGAUGUGUAAUAGCUUUUUUUUAUUG
This 95-nucleotide signal recognition particle RNA is filed under the name Mycoplasma sp. Its description in RNAcentral is "signal recognition particle sRNA small type". It matches the Rfam family "Bacterial small signal recognition particle RNA". Rfam says of the family: The signal recognition particle (SRP) is a universally conserved ribonucleoprotein involved in the co-translational targeting of proteins to membranes. Lineage: Bacteria; Bacillati; Mycoplasmatota; Mollicutes; Mycoplasmatales; Mycoplasmataceae. The record is from RNAcentral.